GGGAGCACAGGAUCCUGGGCUGUGUCCCCGGCGCCCUGGGAUCCAGGGCCUGCGCUGCUGGGAUCAUGCUCUGGGCCAGGUCCU
Molecule: microRNA precursor, 84 nt
Filed under: Canis lupus familiaris (dog)
Lineage: Eukaryota; Metazoa; Chordata; Mammalia; Carnivora; Canidae
Also listed under: 1 other name
Description: mir-8799 microRNA precursor family
Rfam family: mir-8799 microRNA precursor family
Source: Rfam by way of RNAcentral